Molecule: long non-coding RNA, 1103 nt
Organism: Ruditapes philippinarum (Manila clam)
Lineage: Eukaryota; Metazoa; Mollusca; Bivalvia; Venerida; Veneridae
Exons: 2
Source: RefSeq, a predicted model, not a curated record
GAUAGUGGAAUAUAUGAGAUGAAGAUAAAUUCGAUUAAAAUGUAACAUAAAUAAAUCAAUCAAAUAAAAAAACAUAAUCAUUAUGUAGUUUCGUACAUGAAGGAGGAAAAUAGUUAUAUAUAGAAAAAAACUUUUUUAGAAGCCAGUUAACCAUGGAGUAUAUAUAUGUUUCUUCAAAACUUAGUGCUCUACCGAUCCAGCUAUUACGACAUAUAUUACUUAUAUCAGUCAAACGUACAAGCAUUAAUGGUUACGUACUGUAAAUAAAUAUGAUGAAACUUCUGUUUAUCGUGCUCGGAUUAUCCGGGAAAAAUAUCACAACUUAAUUUGAAUAAGGCAGAUUUGGCGUUCCAUAAUGUAGUCAAUAGUGUAACAUGGUUAAAUCUAGGUUCUAUUUAAUAGGAAGGAGGGAAUCGAUAUCACUUUUCAAUUUAGUUAAAAAUUUCUCUCUAAAGUUGUGAGGAAAACAGGUGGCCAUACACCGGUCGUGACCUUUAUUAUUAAGCAGGCCAAACUUGAAAAUCGGCAAUAUAAAUAGAUUGUGAUGACGAAAUAACUAUCCAAUCGGAACUCACGUUACCUAAACUUAAGUCACAUGACUUGUUCAAUCAUAAACAAACCUGCAUGUAUAUAUAGUAAAGACGUGGCAUAUGUUGCACAUCUUGGACGUAUAGAAAAAGGUGUUAAAAUAAGCGUGAAAAUGUCGACAGACGCAAAAGCGGCGGAUAAGGAAUAUAUGGAUGAAUAUGACGACUAUAAUAUUGACCAGGAGAAAUACGUGCAUUCAGCACACAGUGGAAAGGGAAGGUCGAAGAAAGAAGCAUCACUAAACCACCACGAGGACCCUGCCGGACACACGAGAAAAAAUACGCAAAAAUUGAUGAACAACGCUUCUAACAAUAAGAAGGCGUAAUUUACCAAAGUAUGAGUCGAAGAAUAUAUAUUUGGAAAUGGGUACGGACGGACAAACACUGGAUUACGAUUUUAGAACUGUGAUAAUAUGAUGUUAACUGCCUUGAACAUUAAAAAGGAACACAUUUGUGUAUUAUAUAAAAUGGGGAUUUCGGUGUUAAAAUGUGAUAAAAUAAAAGCUUUUGUGAUUG